RNAcentral lists this ribosomal RNA (485 nucleotides) under Penicillium sp. AU55. RNAcentral's name for it is "eukaryotic LSU rRNA". The stretch from base 139 to 292 matches the Rfam family "5.8S ribosomal RNA". Lineage: Eukaryota; Fungi; Ascomycota; Eurotiomycetes; Eurotiales; Aspergillaceae. The record is from RNAcentral.
GUGUUUAUUGUACCUUGUUGCUUCGGUGCGCCCGCCUCACGGCCGCCGGGGGGCUUCUGCCCCCGGGUCCGCGCGCACCGGAGACACCAUUGAACUCUGUCUGAAGAUUGCAGUCUGAGCAUAAACUAAAUAAGUUAAAACUUUCAACAACGGAUCUCUUGGUUCCGGCAUCGAUGAAGAACGCAGCGAAAUGCGAUAACUAAUGUGAAUUGCAGAAUUCAGUGAAUCAUCGAGUCUUUGAACGCACAUUGCGCCCCCUGGUAUUCCGGGGGGCAUGCCUGUCCGAGCGUCAUUGCUGCCCUCAAGCACGGCUUGUGUGUUGGGCUCCGUCCCCCCGGGGACGGGCCCGAAAGGCAGCGGCGGCACCGAGUCCGGUCCUCGAGCGUAUGGGGCUUUGUCACCCGCUCUGUAGGCCCGGCCGGCGCCAGCCGACAACCAAUCAUCCUUUUCAGGUUGACCUCGGAUCAGGUAGGGAUACCCGCUGA